AAUGAACCUGGUGUUAUAGCAUCACCCAGCUGAACAGAGUUUUAUGACAGAAUUGGAAUAUUUGUUGUUUACCAUUAGCACAGCAGCAUGAGCCCGACCGGGGAAGUUUCUGUGAAAAGUUACAUUUUUGGGAUUGCACCUACUCAGCGAACAGUUGAAUCCCUCACUUUUUUUUAGUUGAGGUUAGAAACCGAACUAACUCCAGGCUAUUUGGACCAAGUAAGAUUUUUAUACACCUUCUAAGCUCUUCUUGAUCAUAAAAUGUCAUCUUUUAUGUGCUGCCAUUUGCUAUAUAACUUCUGAUCCAACAUUUUGAAGGUUCACCCCCACACACAUAGGAGUUUACUUUACAAGAACUUCCACAGUUACCCUUAUAACACAUAAUUAUGGCAUCAAUGACAUUUGGCAUGUGAGCCUUCAUGAGUUGUAGGUUCCCCCUAUGAAUUGAAAAACCAGUAUUUAACUCAGCUACACAUCUAGCUUUUAUAUCAAGAGCAAAGCGACUCUUCUCAUUUUGCUUACGAGAUCCUGAGAACAUAAUUUCACUAAACAUGCAUUUCAUAAUGGCCCUUUUUAAACUUUGAGACAAAUGCCUUACAUCUCUGAGACUUUGAACAUUAUUUCCAUGUACACUUUUUAUCCCGGUAAAUGAUUUACUAUCCCCAUCCGAAGUGAAAUGAGAUAUUUGAAGGUGGUCACUGACAUCAGCUGCACAUCUGCGACUAUACUCUCCCUCAUUACCUAUUGGGAAAUCUUCCGCAAUAUUAGCUGUACAUAUACCAGCAUGGUUUGGACAUGUUACAUUUUUCCCUUUUACCUCUCAAUUUUGAGGCAAUUAAACACAAUUUAUUACCAGUAUAAAGAGAGAUCAUUUUUUUUAUUUUUUGUCAUAUUUUCACACAUAACUUGGGUAACUUGUGUACCCCCCUGAAAAGGUGUGCUGCCAUUACUAAAAAUUGGGUUAUUAUACCUAGCAUCAGAUUCAACUCGAACCAACUUUUCAUUGGAUAGACCAAGUGUUUUGUUGUCAUUUGCCAAAUUUUUCCUUAUAUUUUCCAUGUCAUCUUUAUUUACUUUUUCCACAACUUUUGAAACUUUAUUUGCAGAUUUCUGCAAAGCCUAAUGAAGAAGGGAAGAUAAUAUUGGCUGCAUUUAGGAUUUCACUAAAGUUUUUGUUUGAUAUUGGUGUAUGUAUUAGACCUACUUGUGCACCAAUGUUAACCAUGGCAGCCCUUCUGCCUCUUUUUAUAGAUUCAACUUCUUCAUAUAAUUUAUGAAAUGCACUUUUGAAUCCACAUAUAUUACAUUGAAACCUUUCUUGCCAUGCUAAUCCCCAUUUUACUUGAGCCUCUGUGUCAAAUUUUAAAUCACCCUUACAGUCUUGUUUAUACAACAUGAGAUUUUUCAUUUCAGUGUUAAUCAUGUACUGAAGAGCAUUCUGUUGAAAAAUCUUAUAUGUGAAUUGGUCUGCAGAUGACACAUUAGCUUUAAGGUAUGUAUCAACUAAUGUUAUUUUUUUGGGGUUUUGGCCGCAAAAGUUUACAAUUUGCAAUUGUGCCGUGCCGUCUGCAUUUUGCACUGACAAAACACCAUCUAAACAUUUAUUUACUCUGGAUUUAUGCACAUCAGAAUCCAGUCUCACAUACUUAAAAAUUUCACAAUUCUUACCAAAUUUAAUUUUUUUACCAGCAUUCCAAGGGACAUAACCCUUUUUAAAUCCAUUUUGAGGUAUUUUUUUAUUACUCCUCUCUUCCCAUUUUCUAAUAAAAAAUACAAUAAAGUGGACUUUUUUGUGUAAAUCUAUAAGAAAUAUACUGUAAUAAUUAAAUAAUAUGACUUUGAUAUCACAAACAUUAAAUGAUUAACUGAAAGGGAACCGUUAUUUGUCACACUCAGGAACAGACCAAAAACUCAAGUUAUACAUAAGGACUUAUAGAAACUUCCGUGGAGACUGUUAACAUUUAUAGAGACAGUUCUUUCAGCUAAAACACUUUUCUUAUUGAUUUAACAUAACAUUUCUUACAUUUAUUUGGGAAAAUAAUCACAUUUGUUUUAUUUUUUAGCCAAAAGAUGUCAAGUUUUGAUGAAAAAAGAAGGAAAAAUGGACCAAAACAGACCAAAACAGACCUUCAAAUGAACUCAAAAAGGUGCAAUAAAAUUGUUUAUCAUCUUAAAGUUGUCUUUUGUAUCCUAUUUAAUUGUUUCAAUGCAUAGAUGAUGAGUAUAUGAUCAGAUAUUAGUCAAAACUGUAUUUUAUGAUGAUACACUGACAUUAGGAUUUUUCGUAGAAAUUAAACUGAAAUCGCCAUAGAAUAUGACCUUACAAUAAAGUGAUUUUCUCUGAAACUAUAGCUCUGACUGAGACAAAACUUGGCAGUUAUGCUUGAAAUAACUUGCAAUUGGAGGGAAAAAAUGACAUUCAGUUUAUUUGACAUUUAGGUGUUAUUUAGGUGUAAUACCACCAAAUCAUGGUACGUCACAUCCGGUUGUAUACAAAAGUAGGUCUAAAAAAAAUAUUCCCUUGAAUUUGACAGUUGUAGAAAAUUAACCCUGCAUUUCAAUGCACCUUAAUUUUUCUGAGUCAUUAACAUGUAUGUUGGAUGUCUGAAAGCAUCAUUCUUUUUUAAUUUGAUGGUCUUAUAAAAUAUUUUGGAAAGUUGAGGUUACAUAGUUACCAAAGCAGGUAACCAGUAAAUAACACUGUAAAAAUUUGGGUUGUUUACUUCCGGUGAUGGUUACUUUCUUAUAUGCAAUGAAAUGUAGUGUGAAAUUUUUACUGUAGCACUGGAAAGGAUUAAACUUUAUACAUGCAAAGUAUUUCUUAAGUUGAAAUGAAGGUAAAUACUGUACAAUUUUUUUAAAAAUGUCAAUUUAACAAAGACUAAUAGGGAAAAAUCAAUGGUGGUAUUACACCUGUAGGGGCCUCGGUGGCAGAGUGGUUACUACUGUAAUCACUAGCUAUUCAACACUGAGCUUGUGAGUUCAAACCUGCUCGGGUGGGUGCACUAGACUCCAAUCUUAAUUGACUAUAGGGUUGCCAGUUUCAUUAUCAAAGGUCAGUUGUUUUCUCUGGGCACUCUGACUUCCUCCACCAAUAAAAACUGGUCACCAUGAAAUAUCCCAAAAGUGGUGUAAAAACAACAACAAUCAAUCAAUGUUGCUGUGCAUAUUUGUUCUGUCUAAUGUUGAAACAUUUAAAAAAACACUUGACAAAAUUAAUUGAUUUUUUAUUUUUAAUUUCAUAUCAUCUACAUGUUACUAACUAAAUGUAUCAUACAAAAGCCUAUCAUAACUGGUGAUGUGUUUUGGUUGUUGUGGAAUUGAGUUCUAGCAAAUUUCACAGCAGGUUGAUAUUAAGGGGAGGUAAUAACCCUGUUAACUACUCAUUAUUUGAUAUUUAAUGCAUUAAAUAAUUAAAAGGUUUUGGAUAAUAAAUUGGGUGCUGAAUCUUUAUGUUGAGUAGUUAUUUGGUCCAUUUAAAAAAGGUCAAAAACUGAAGCUGUCAAAUGGAAUUUUAGACCCCCUUUACACAGAUUUGUCAAUAUUUUGAGUUAUAGCUGUUUAACUUUUCUACAGGUUUUUUUUUAAGAGUUUAAAUAACUGAUUCAACAUUGUAUUACAGGUUAGCAUCACAGCUUGUCCUUUUGGAUAAUGUCUGGAGUAGAAUUUGGAUCUUUUUGAGGUGAGAAUAUAUUUAUUUGUCCACAUACAAGAGGGUGGUAAUGGGGGUACCUUUAUAACCAAUAAUGGUAAAAAUUCUUACUGAAUGACGUUUACUGUAAAAUUUGGAGCAUGCAAAGUUUUAGAUGACGAAAAAAUCAAAUAAAUUUUGACGAAUCAAGUUAGUUUUUUUCCCAAAAAAUAACGACAACAAUCAUUAUUUGAGUCCUCAAUUCGGUGCUAACAGUAGCCAAUAAAGACUGUUUGAUGCCUGAUGGUAAAAGCGCAUUACUUUCCUCAUACAAAUUUUAUUAAUUGAUGUAAUCUUAUGGACAGUUUAAAUUUCUAUAAAUCUUUAUUAUUUGCAAUUAUAUAUUUCAUCUUUAUAUUUUCUACUGCAGCCUUUAUAGAUGUAAAUCAGAUGUUUUAAUGUUCAGAAGGCUUAUAGUUCUUUUUAACUUCUUUCUCUUAUACCAUUUAUAAAAUAUUACCUAAUAACCAUGAACUGAAUCAUUAAGAGAACCAUUGUUUUUAUAAUAUUAAAGAAUUGUGAAUACUUGAAAAAGGGAGAUAACCUCACAUUUAUUUGCAAUGAAAUGGCAAGUGCUGUCACAUAGAUAAGAUGUCUUAAUUAUAUUAAUCUGCUUCUUAUUCAGUUUUGUAUUUCUUUAAAAUUAAAUUUCUUCAUUCAAUAUACACGAUUGUCUCCCUUGGACACAGUUAAAAAUCAAGAACAAUGAAAUUUUUUGUGUAAAUUUUAACAAAAUCGUGUUUUAGAGGUUUUUUCACGAUCACGAUCAUGCAGUCGUGACAAAGGGUCAAAAUUGUGUAGUACACGCCUAUAUGGUGAAAAUUGGCAGGCAUGAAUAUAUGGAGAAAACAAAGUAAAUGUCAUAAAACUAGAAUCAAACAAUGAAAGAUUAUUGAAAUAUCCUGAAUAAUUAUAAUUUUAUCAUGUAUUCAAAUUUUCAGCUAAAUAGCUGCUGCUUUUGUUUGACACUCAAUAAAUGAUUAAUUCAAUACUCGGGUAAUAGUAAUGUUAACAAAUUGAAAAUCAAAAUUAGCUUAUUAAAAUGGCUUUCUAUUUUAUAACAAAUUUAGCUGCACAAUCUCUGUUGCAAUUUUUUUUGGUAAAAUCAAUAAAUUUGAAUAAAAAUCAUGUUUUUAUAUACAACAAAAUCUGUCUAUUUAAAAGAAAAAUUACCACUCAAAUAUUUAAACAUUACCCAAUUCAUAUAUUUUAACAUUACUUGAAAUUACGAUGGAUUGUCACGAAAUGAAGUAUCAUUUUAUUUCUUUUACAGGUGCCCUUGUGUGGUCAAUCCAAUGGACAAUAACAAUCAUGCAGACC
This 5011-nucleotide long non-coding RNA is filed under the name Mytilus galloprovincialis (Mediterranean mussel). Lineage: Eukaryota; Metazoa; Mollusca; Bivalvia; Mytilida; Mytilidae. The record is from RNAcentral.